This 161-nucleotide ribosomal RNA is filed under the name uncultured bacterium. RNAcentral describes it as "partial 16S rRNA". It matches the Rfam family "Bacterial small subunit ribosomal RNA", at positions 358 to 511 of the family's 1533-position model. The record is from RNAcentral.
GGAAUCUUCCACAAUGGAUGAAAGUCUGAUGGAGCAACGCCGCGUGAGUGAAGAAGGUUUUCGGAUCGUAAAGCUCUGUUGUUGGUGAAGAAGGAUAGAGGCAGUAACUGGUCUUUAUUUGACGGUAAUCAACCAGAAAGUCACGGCUAACUACGUGCCAG